GGAAACUGCUGUUCCUGAAGCCACUCCACAUUAUCAGUGUUGGGUAAUGUAUGAGUAUUUAGACAAGAAAAGCUAAAAGAAUCUGCUUCAAUUGUCUCUAAAUCAAUAAUUUCAGUGUCAAAGUAUUAGUCCAAUUCUCUUGUAGGAUAUCAUGUUGCAUUUAUUUUGUCCGAGAUGUCAUAUGUGUUAGAAACCGAGGUAAUAUGGGCUAUCUUUGUCCCCACCUCAAUAGUUGACUUUUGGGGCGUGGUUCUCUAAGAUGCUUUAAGUACUUAAACAUGUUUAGGCUGUCAGCACUUUCAUCUCACCCUUUUUUUUUCCCUAAAUCAAUGUCAUUA
This 338-nucleotide unclassified non-coding RNA is filed under the name Hevea brasiliensis (rubber tree). The record is from RNAcentral. Lineage: Eukaryota; Viridiplantae; Streptophyta; Magnoliopsida; Malpighiales; Euphorbiaceae.